Long non-coding RNA from Micropterus dolomieu (smallmouth bass), 440 nucleotides. RefSeq lists it as uncharacterized. The record is from RefSeq and is a predicted model, not a curated record. NCBI's taxonomy places the organism in Eukaryota, Metazoa, Chordata, Actinopteri, Centrarchiformes, Centrarchidae. The transcript has 2 exons.
CCCUUCAUUCCUAAACACAUUGCAGACUUUCUAAAAAUAAUGCGUGUUGUCUUUUCUUGCAGACUCCUCUCCAGACGACAGCCUGCAGAGCAAAUCCUGGCACACUACAAGGCCCUCUGUCUGCAAGGCUUUGUGUAGCCUGCUGAAAUCAGGGACCUGAUGGAUGAUUUUUGGCUGGAAGCUGGGCCUCUCAUCCAGGAAUCCCAACUUUUCUUUCCUGGUGCGCUCAGCAGUGCGAAGUUUUGAGCUAACAGACACAGUAGGAUUCUCAUAACCCACUGUUGUCCAAGUGGAUGCUUGUCUGCAGAUCUCCUGUUCUGCACAGAAUUACAACAAAAUACAGAACAGGAUGUAGUUUUGUCAGUGCAUAAAGUGUAUCAGACAUGCUGUAUACGUGCAUACUGCUACUAUAAAUAAAGUAAAUCAGAAAAGGAAACACA